Molecule: long non-coding RNA, 3737 nt
Organism: Mustela erminea (ermine)
Lineage: Eukaryota; Metazoa; Chordata; Mammalia; Carnivora; Mustelidae
Exons: 6
Source: RefSeq, a predicted model, not a curated record
GGCUGCACAGGCGGUGGAAGGCACAGACCGUGGUCCUUGGGCUGCAAGGACUGUGCAGGGGCCCGCUGGGUUGUGCAAGCUUCGGGAGUACAUGGCUCAGGUCCUGAAACAGUGCCUGGGAUGCAGCAGGCAUCAGGAACCACUGGUUGAAUGAGCCAAUGAGUUGGCGAAGGAAAAAGUCUUGCUCCUUUGCUAGGGCUGUGGUGACAAAGGACCACAGCCUGGGUGACUUAUGCAACAUCAGUUUAUCUGUCAUAAUCCUGAGGACCAGAAGUCUGAGAUCAGGGUGUUGGCGGAGUUGAUUCCUCCUCAUGCCUCUCUCCUUGGCUGAAGAGAAUGCAGUCUUUCAAGACCCCUGGUACAGAAGUCUUCAGAACAUGGAAGUAAGGACUAAACGAAGGAAGGAAUCCGAGAAUGUGCAGGGUGUUUAAGGGAUGGAAAUAAUUGCUUUCUAAAUGGGAACCUGGCCUCGGAGUGAACAUGUCAAGAGUAGCUACUCUGAACCUGGAAGAGACAGAAGCAGAAAACAUGUCUCCUGAUUCGUGUUCCAUUACUUUAAUCACUCAACACCACUCCGUUUAAGCUAAAGAGAUAUAAUGGCGCAUUUGACAGGUGUCUUCACAUCAAGAUUAGAUAGGAACCCUAGAAGUCUAAUGCUGAACCUUUCUUACCUUCUGCAGAGGAUGUCACUCAAAAUCUCUUCUCUCAAUCCCUCUUCUCUGACUGCUUACGAAAUUCAGACCCAUUCCUCCUGCAACCCAAUGCUCUCCUCAGGUGAACCUUGCUUUACACGAAACAUCUGUGUGUAAAUAACAUGGUAAUAAUUCAAGUCGUAUUCUAAGUGCAGCAUAGGGAUCUCGCUAUUGAAAGGAACACUGCAAUAAAUGCUUUUGUAAGGCAGAAUACCUCUUUUGUAAUGUACACAAUAUAAAUGUAGAUAAAGCUUCCAAUUUACCUAAGUUUAGAUUUUUACAUAGUGGAUUUCAUUAAAGCAGAACCUAUCUGUAAAUGAAAAUAUUUUAAGCUUCAGCCCUUUGCCCAUCAUAAUGGUUUUUUAAAAAUCUCAUUACAAUAAAACCCAUUAGUUUGAAUAAUUAAAUACAAAAAAAUGCUUUCCACAUGCAUUGAAAUUUCUGAUUUUAAUAGGAAAAAAACCCAACUGAGUGCCUUGUUUUUAAGCUCCUAUUUCAAUCUUGUUUUAAAAUGGCAAACAGUAUAAUAACUAGCAUCGAGCAGAAAGUACACUGCAGCACGGCCGGCUGACUGAGGAAAGACAGCCAGUGUCUACACUUAGGAAAAUAGAGGCAGAUACAAAGGAACAGGGUCUGAGUGUUCCAGACGUCUGGAGAACGUACUAGCUAAGAGGUCAACAUGUAUUACCUUAUUUCAAUCUUUACAACGAAGCGAGGGUUAGCCUCCCCAUUUCGGCAAAGGAAUGGAAGCUGGGAAAUGGGAAGUAACUUGUCCAGUGUCACACAGGUUCUAGCGAUGGUCAGAAGUCAAAUUCACCUCUCCGCAUCUCAAAUAAGAGCUCUUACCCCUUUUGCUUAUUUUGAGGUUGAAACUUAAAUUGUCGAUCUAUUAUCAUACAUUUUUGACCAACAAAGAUGGAAGCUCAUAGGGUUCAACUAAAACCUCUCUACCACACAGAAAUUAAAAUACGAAAAGGUAGUGUUGAUCCGAGGGUGACUUGAGCCUCUUUUGUAGGGCAGAAAGAGCUCAGAUCCUGUUUUUGUUCCCCUCCAGUCCUGCUCAUUUUCUGCCCCUCCCCACCCACAUCCCCACCUUUUUAUUCAGGAAUCUUUAGAGGGCACCAUGUGCACAACAGCUCCCAUGAGAAGUGCUGGAGAUGCCAACCUGAGUUCAACUUGGUGGGUGAACUUGAGAAGUCUGCAGGCUGACUUUUAAGAGAACAAAAGUAUAUUAAUUGCAUGAGUAGAAGAUAAUUUCAGGGAUUUGCUGAAAUAUCUUGGUUCACAUGGGAAUGGCUAUGCUGACAGGUAGCCCCUCAAAGAGGAGGUGAGAGAAGGUAGUUGGCCUACCCUGCAUGCCUUCCAAGACCUCCUGAUUUCCAGGCUCUCUUCACCCUGGAGGCAAAAGUAAGCAGCAUGUUCCACAUGGAGGAAGGAUACAAAAGGUCAAGAACCCAAAAUGGAAUGCUGGUCAUUCUCCAUUUCAUUUGUCACUCAGAAACACUCAUCCUUUCAUGGCUUAAGUGAAGCCACCUCUCACUGCACUUUAUUUUCUUGGAGGCUGGAGCCCCAUGGUCUGGCUUCUAUUUCAUAUGCUGUAUUUAAUUUUCAUAAAAUCCAAGCAAAUAAAAUAAUUUGAGAAAAACUGAAAGUGAGCUUACAUAUCCAUACACUUAUGUGUUCACUAUAGAAAGUUUACGAAAGAGAGCUGAUACUUCAUGUGACUUUAAAACAAACUAACUAACCAGCUAACUAACUACCUGCGUUAUUUCUUCCAGAACAUUGUCUCACACAAAAUUAGAUACUAAGUUUCUGACUAGUGCAGAUGAUUUCACACAUAUCUCAUAGCCUUGAAAUAUUUCCUUCAGAAUAUGGUCUUUUCAGAUGUUUUAGGUUAGACAUUACAUUUAGUCAGUUAUUGUGCUAAAUUCAGAGAAGAAAACAAACUCACCUUGAACAUUCUGAGGAUUUCUUUGGCUUAAUGGAGACAAAUCCUUCACUUAAUGGCUGGCCCUUAGUACUCAUAAAACAAACUCAUUUAUCCUGAACAGUGGGGUGGGAUGUCAUGGAGUUGGUAAUUAUUAAUGACAACUAAUGGCUGGUAGUUAUUGAUGACAUUUGUGAGAGUAGGAUAAAAAUAAUAAUUAUAAUAAUGUGAGGUGUCAUGAACAAACAGUAAUUGCAAUAAUGAUUGCUAUUAUAAUAAUGAGCGAGAAAAUGAUUUUAGGUUAUUAAAUCAAUAAAGAUAAUGGGAGUCUGCAUGUGCGUGUGUGUCACACGUGCACACGCACACACCCAACACACACAUAAUUGUGAAAAUAAGCCAGAUAAAAAUAAUAGUCAUUCUUGAUUGAAGACUUAAUAUGUGCCAAGCUCUGUGCCUAAAACAUAAACACAUUAUCUUCUUGAAUUCACAGUGGCUCUAUGAGUAGACAUUAUUGAUAACAUUAUUUUCCUAGCUAUGCUAAUAAGAAAACAGAAGUUUGGAGCAGUUACACAAUUUGAUAACAGUAACUUAACAGCUGGUAAAUGGCAAAAAGGAAAUUUAAACCUGGUCUAGCUAAUACCAGAGUCCUUGCACUUAACCAGUAUUCUAUAAUUGCUGAAAGGUAACACAUGUAUUCUGUUAUCUAGGAUACCUGAGCUGCCAGGUACCCUAAGGGUAUGGGUCCGACUGUCAAGUUAUCUUAGACCCACAAGUCACAGCUGGCAGUAGGACCUGCCAACAGAUCGGCAUGGUGAGGACCCCACAGAGACAAGCCCACAGAAUUGCCCAAUGGAGAAACACCAUUUCUGUAAAGAGAAGGGACCUGGGUACAAACUCUCAUAAAAAGGUGCCUCCUUGGUUUUUUUUUUUUUUUUUUUCCAUCAGAGCUAUGACCUAAGCCAUUCUUUGACUUUCUCUCCAUGUGCAAGUGACAAAUGCAGUGGCCUCCAAUGACCAUGACUGGAAUGCUCAGGAAAAGCUAUGUGUUUGUAUGUAUAUGUAUUGCCCUAAGAAGGUGAGUGCUCCUGUAACUUCAUCAUGAAUACAUCUAUUAAAAA